Molecule: ribosomal RNA, 449 nt
Filed under: uncultured bacterium
Lineage: Bacteria
Description: partial 16S ribosomal RNA
Rfam family: Bacterial small subunit ribosomal RNA
Source: RNAcentral
AACGAACGCUGGCGGCAUGCCUAACACAUGCAAGUCGAACGAGACCUUCGGGUCUAGUGGCGCACGGGUGCGUAACGCGUUGGAAUCUACCCUUGGGUUCGGAAUAACAGAUAGAAAUGACUGCUAAUACCGGAUGAUGACGUAAGUCCAAAGAUCUAUCGCCCAAGGACGAGCCCGCGUAGGAUUAGCUAGUUGGUGAGGUAAAAGCUCACCAAGGCGACGAUCCUUAGCUGGUCUGAGAGGAUGAUCAGCCACACUGGGACUGAGACACGGCCCAGACUCCUACGGGAGGCAGCAGUAGGGAAUAUUGGACAAUGGGGGCAACCCUGAUCCAGCAAUGCCGCGUGAGUGAUGAAGGCCUUAGGGUUGUAAAGCUCUUUUACCCGAGAUGAUAAUGACAGUAUCGGGAGAAUAAGCUCCGGCUAACUCCGUGCCAGCCGCCGCGGUAA